GGGGGGGGGGGGGGGGGGGCUUGGGGGGGGGGGGGGGGGGGGGGCGGGGCGGGUUGUGGGGGGUGGUCGGGUGGCGAGGGGGGGAGGAGGACGUGAGUAAACUGCCCUUGCGAUUGGGGUGACUUCAGGGAGCAGGGGGUAAUAGCGGAUAGGAGCUGCUGGUGCGGUGUGGGGUGUGGAGGGUUGCGGCGGUUGGGGAUGGACUCGCGGCUUAUCAGCUUGUUGGUGGGGUAGGGGCUUACCAAGGCUUUGACGGGUAGCCGGCCUGAGAGGGUGACCGGCCACAUUGGGACUGAGAUACGGCCCAGACUCCUACGGGAGGCAGCAGUGGGGAAUAUUGCACAAUGGGCGGAAGCCUGAUGCAGCAACGCCGCGUGCGGGAUGACGGCCUUCGGGUUGUAAACCGCUUUCGCCUGUGACGAAGCGUGAGUGACGGUAAUGGGUAAAGAAGCACCGGCUAACUACGUG
Molecule: ribosomal RNA, 468 nt
Filed under: uncultured bacterium
Lineage: Bacteria
Description: partial 16S ribosomal RNA
Rfam family: Bacterial small subunit ribosomal RNA
Source: RNAcentral